Molecule: ribosomal RNA, 246 nt
Filed under: uncultured phototrophic eukaryote
Lineage: Eukaryota
Description: partial 16S ribosomal RNA
Rfam family: Bacterial small subunit ribosomal RNA
Source: RNAcentral
UCAAGGAAGAAGUAAUGACGGUACUUGAGGAAUAAGCAUCGGCUAACUCUGUGCCAGCAGCCGCGGUAAUACAGAGGAUGCAAGCGUUAUCCGGAAUCACUGGGCAUAAAGCGUCUGUAGGUGGCUCAUCAAGUUUGCUGUUAAAGACUAGGGCUCAACCCUAGGAAAGCAGUGGAAACUAAUAAGCUUGAGUGUGGUAGAGGUAGAGGGAAUUCCUAGUGUAGCGGUGAAAUGCGUAGAUAUUAG